GUGAAUCAUCGAAUCUUUGAACGCACCUUGCGCCUCUUGGUAUUCCGAGAGGCAUGCCUGUUUGAGUGUCAUUUAAUUCUCAACCUCAAAAGCUUUAUUGUUUCUGAGGCUUGGAUGUGGAGGCUUCUUGCUGGCUCGAUUCAGAGUCCGGCUCCUCUGAAAUGCAUUAGUGGAAGCUGUUUGUAGUCCGCAUUGGUGUGAUAAUUAUCUGCGCCAUUGUAUAUACUUGUGGCUACAGCUCCUGUAGUGUUCGUUUGGAAAGCUUGCAUGAAUUUGCUCUUUCUGCUUUAAUUGACCCUGCAAGAAAGCAGUAUUCGCUUCAAACCGUCCUAAGUCAUUGGACAAAUCAGCUUGAUUACUUUGACCUCAAAUCAGGUAGGACUACCCGCUGAACUUAAGCAUAUCAAUAAGCGGAGGA
Molecule: unclassified non-coding RNA, 418 nt
Filed under: Marasmius sp.
Lineage: Eukaryota; Fungi; Basidiomycota; Agaricomycetes; Agaricales; Marasmiaceae
Description: partial contains 5.8S ribosomal RNA, internal transcribed spacer 2, and large subunit ribosomal RNA
Rfam family: 5.8S ribosomal RNA (bases 1-71)
Source: RNAcentral